GUGUUUGUGCCCGGGAUGUCGGGGGGCCCCCUUCUGCCUGCGGCGGCGUACAUCUGCCUGGCAGUCUGCCUCCUCAGCAAACAAGGGGGUUGAAUUUGGGAGGAUGGGGUGUGUAGGAGGAAUGGAUGGAAGUGUGUAGGCGGAGAGGUUGGGGCAGGAGGGGGAGCUAGGCGGAGGGAGCAGGGAGGGGGCGUGGUCCUCCCUGCAAAAUCCCCGCCCGCCCUGACCGAGGCUUCUCCUGAUUGGCUUCUCGACCGAAGGGCUCAGGUUACAUUCGCGAGCAGAGCGGAGCGCGGGAGAGAGGACCCGAGAGCAGAGCUGCUGCUUCGGCGCUGGUCAGCGGGCACCCUAAGGCCCCAGAGUCCCCACCCAGCACCACCCAGACCCCACCCCCGCCCUGCGCCAGCCUGUGCCCCAGCCAAGGACCCCCAACACCAGCAUGGACUGCUGCACCAGGCAGAGCUGCUGAUUCAAAUGUACCAGUUGCUGAUUUACAUAGUCACGAGAGCGCGUGCUCCAAGCCGGACGACGACAUUCUAGACAUCCCGCUGGACGAUCCCGGCGCCA
This is a long non-coding RNA of Ursus maritimus (polar bear), 567 nucleotides long. The record is from Ensembl. Lineage: Eukaryota; Metazoa; Chordata; Mammalia; Carnivora; Ursidae.